GACGAACGCUGGCGGCGUGCCUAAUACAUGCAAGUUGAGCGCUGAAGGUUGGUACUUGUACCAACUGGAUGAGCAGCGAACGGGUGAGUAACGCGUGGGGAAUCUGCCUUUGAGCGGGGGACAACAUUUGGAAACGAAUGCUAAUACCGCAUAAAAACUUUAAACACAAGUUUUAAGUUUGAAAGAUGCAAUUGCAUCACUCAAAGAUGAUCCCGCGUUGGAUUAGCUAGUUGGUGAGGUAAAGGCUCACCAAGGCGAUGAUACAUAGCCGACCUGAGAGGGUGAUCGGCCACAUUGGGACUGAGACAAGGCCCAAACUUCUACGGGGGGCAGCAGUAGGGAAUCUUCGGCAAUGGAGGAAAGUCUGACCGAGCAACGCCGCGGGAGUGAAGAAGGGUCUCGGAUCGUAAAAAUCGGUUGGUAGAGAAGAACGUUGGUGAGAGUGGAAAGCUCAUCAAGUGACGGUAACUACCCAGAAAGGGACGGCUAACUACGUG
Molecule: ribosomal RNA, 497 nt
Filed under: uncultured bacterium
Lineage: Bacteria
Description: partial 16S ribosomal RNA
Rfam family: Bacterial small subunit ribosomal RNA
Source: RNAcentral